Molecule: ribosomal RNA, 122 nt
Filed under: Chironomus riparius
Lineage: Eukaryota; Metazoa; Arthropoda; Insecta; Diptera; Chironomidae
Source: RNAcentral
GUCAACGGCCAUAUCACGUUGAAUACACCAGUUCUCGUCCGAUCACUGAAGUUAAGCAACGUCGAGCAUAGUUAGUACUUGGAUGGGUGACCGCUUGGGAACACUAUGUGUUGUUGGCUACU